UACGUAGGGUGCAAGCGUUAAUCGGAAUUACUGGGCGUACAGCGUGCGCAGGCGGUUUUGUAAGUCUGUCGUGAAAUCCCCCGGGCUCAACCUGGGAAUUGCGAUGGAGACUGCAAGGCUAGAAUCUGGCAGAGGGGGGGUAGAAUUCCACGUGUAGCAGUGAAAUGCGUAGAGAUGUGGAGGAACACCGAUGGCGAAGGCAGCCCCCCUGGGUCAAGAUUGACGCUCAUGC
Molecule: ribosomal RNA, 232 nt
Filed under: uncultured bacterium
Lineage: Bacteria
Description: partial 16S ribosomal RNA
Rfam family: Bacterial small subunit ribosomal RNA
Source: RNAcentral